This 663-nucleotide ribosomal RNA is filed under the name Lacticaseibacillus rhamnosus. RNAcentral describes it as "bacterial SSU rRNA". It matches the Rfam family "Bacterial small subunit ribosomal RNA", at positions 371 to 1025 of the family's 1533-position model. The record is from RNAcentral. Lineage: Bacteria; Bacillati; Bacillota; Bacilli; Lactobacillales; Lactobacillaceae.
AUGGACGCAAGUCUGAUGGAGCAACGCCGCGUGAGUGAAGAAGGCUUUCGGGUCGUAAAACUCUGUUGUUGGAGAAGAAUGGUCGGCAGAGUAACUGUUGUCGGCGUGACGGUAUCCAACCAGAAAGCCACGGCUAACUACGUGCCAGCAGCCGCGGUAAUACGUAGGUGGCAAGCGUUAUCCGGAUUUAUUGGGCGUAAAGCGAGCGCAGGCGGUUUUUUAAGUCUGAUGUGAAAGCCCUCGGCUUAACCGAGGAAGUGCAUCGGAAACUGGGAAACUUGAGUGCAGAAGAGGACAGUGGAACUCCAUGUGUAGCGGUGAAAUGCGUAGAUAUAUGGAAGAACACCAGUGGCGAAGGCGGCUGUCUGGUCUGUAACUGACGCUGAGGCUCGAAAGCAUGGGUAGCGAACAGGAUUAGAUACCCUGGUAGUCCAUGCCGUAAACGAUGAAUGCUAGGUGUUGGAGGGUUUCCGCCCUUCAGUGCCGCAGCUAACGCAUUAAGCAUUCCGCCUGGGGAGUACGACCGCAAGGUUGAAACUCAAAGGAAUUGACGGGGGCCCGCACAAGCGGUGGAGCAUGUGGUUUAAUUCGAAGCAACGCGAAGAACCUUACCAGGUCUUGACAUCUUUUGAUCACCUGAGAGAUCAGGUUUCCCCUUCGGGG